Molecule: ribosomal RNA, 541 nt
Filed under: uncultured bacterium
Lineage: Bacteria
Description: bacterial SSU rRNA
Rfam family: Bacterial small subunit ribosomal RNA
Source: RNAcentral
AGCGGCGAACGGGUGAGUAAUGCAUCGGAACAUGUCCAUGUCGUGGGGGAUAGCCCGGCGAAAGCCGGAUUAAUACCGCAUACGCCCGAGAGGGGAAAGCCGGGGACCGCAAGGCCUGGCGCGAUUGGGUUGGCCGAUGUCCGAUUAGCUAGUUGGUGGGGUAAAGGCCCACCAAGGCGAUGAUCGGUAGCUGGUCUGAGAGGAUGAUCAGCCACACUGGGACUGAGACACGGCCCAGACUCCUACGGGAGGCAGCAGUGGGGUAUUUUGGACAAUGGGGGAAACCCUGAUCCAGCCAUUCCGCGUGAGUGAAGAAGGCCUUCGGGUUGUAAAGCUCUUUUGUCCGGAACGAAACGGUUACGGCUAAUACCUGUGACUACUGACGGUACCGGAAGAAUAAGCACCGGCUAACUACGUGCCAGCAGCCGCGGUAAUACGUAGGGUGCGAGCGUUAAUCGGAAUUACUGGGCGUAAAGCGUGCGCAGGCGGUUUUGUAAGCCAGAUGUGAAAUCCCCGGGCUUAACCUGGGAAUGGCAUUUGG